UUUUUAUUAGUAAAAAAGAAAUUCAUUAAAAUAUUAGGGUGUACGUUGAAAUUCUUUGAAACAUUUAGUGUUAUUGAAAUUAAUCUAUAUAUUUUUUAUAGAAGAAAUUAAUCUAUAUAAAAGAUAAAAUUUUGACUUUCCAUGAGUAGUUUAACUGUUAAGAAAAUAUAUAAAUUUAAUAGUAACCUUUUGGCAGCUAAAAUUAAUGAAAAAAUAACUAUAUUUUAGAAUAAAUUGAAGUUUUUAUAUUUUU
RNAcentral lists this long non-coding RNA (253 nucleotides) under Citrus sinensis (sweet orange). RNAcentral's name for it is "long non-coding RNA (CSIN_LNC004575)". Lineage: Eukaryota; Viridiplantae; Streptophyta; Magnoliopsida; Sapindales; Rutaceae. The record is from RNAcentral.